GACUAGUGACCACUGACUAGCCGAUAUCAUGCUGCACGUCGCAUUCGGUUCUUUAUUUAUCGUUCACUGUUUUAUUUUUCACUACCUUGAUACGGUUUAACACCUGCACAGCCGAAAGAAUACAUACGUAUACGGUUCUAAUUGCUAAGAGGUACAUGCUGCAGAAUGAGCAGCAGAAUCAAUCGCAAAAUAACACCUAAAUUGCAUCAGCCCCGAAAGCGAUUUCUACGGGUUGCAUCUCGUAAACAACCUAGUUUGAUAUCUCGUGAACAACAGGUUGUGUUGAUAGCGUAUUGUGCUCCACAUGGCGAUGUGACUCAUCAUGGGCACAGCACAACACCAUUUUGACCCACGCGUGUGACAAUUCACGUCAUAACGGUCUAGUGCAACAUUAACCAGUUCCUAAUUAAUUUUCUUAUUCAGAUACCAUGAUUCAGAGCGAGGGAGAUUCGAUUAUUUGUAAGACAGCCGAGUAAGGUUGCAAAAUGUAAUGUGUAGGUUUCGCGAUUGGAGGACCUAUAACAGGCGUGGCAGAGCCACGUUGGACAGACGGUACACACAUCUGUUAAUGGUGCGUUUUAAACGACUACAGUCGCGACGUAGCUAUAUAAAGGGAAGAUCUCAGUUUCAUUCGACACGUCAACUGUUACCUGUUUUUCGUGGCAAUAUUUUGCAUUCUUAUUGAGUUUCCGGUUUUCCUUGAAAACAGCAUUAUUUGGGUAACUUUCUACCAGGUAUACUGGUCGUAUACCCGUUUAAAGGUUAACAACUGCAGCCAUGCUGCAUCAUCAGGAGCUAGUGUUCGGGAUCGUCUUCUUCCUGAUUCUUUUGCAACCGACUGGGGAUACGGGACUGGAGAUCGGUCGUCCUCCAGGAAACUCCGUUGCGCACCUGACAACCAUCAAUGCCACACACGGGUCUGCAAACGCUACUGCUGAGCGUGAGAUCCCCCUUCCCAGAUGCAGCGCUCGGGAGGCACAUUUCGCUGUAAAACCUUAUUGUACCGUCAGUGACUUUCACGGUGCUCUGUAGCGAUAGAUGCUAAAGAUUUAUGAAAUGCGCUUAACCGAUUCAAGUCCGAUUGUGAUUCACAAUAAUGUUGCCGGCACGGACUUAUAAUAUUAGUACCGGGCACAAUACGGUGCGGUAUACACGUAUACGCUAUAUGCGAUAUUUAUGGUGGUAUCUGUACAGUCGUCAUAAAAUUAAUAUAAUACUGGACUCAAAUAAACAAAUUGUGCCUAACCGAGAAAAGAAAUGUCAUGAUCACUGGGGAAAUUAAAAUAAAUUAU
Molecule: long non-coding RNA, 1292 nt
Organism: Paramacrobiotus metropolitanus
Lineage: Eukaryota; Metazoa; Tardigrada; Eutardigrada; Parachela; Macrobiotidae
Exons: 3
Source: RefSeq, a predicted model, not a curated record